UGGUGGAGUGAUUUGUCUGGUUAAUUCCGAUAACGAACGAGACCCCCUCCUACUUACUAGACUGUGGAUGAUUCACACAUCCUCAGACUCUUCUUAGAGGGACUGUGUGUGCAUAAUGCAAGGAAGUUUGAGGCAAUAACA
Molecule: ribosomal RNA, 141 nt
Filed under: uncultured eukaryote
Lineage: Eukaryota
Description: partial 18S ribosomal RNA
Rfam family: Eukaryotic small subunit ribosomal RNA
Source: RNAcentral